RNAcentral lists this ribosomal RNA (423 nucleotides) under uncultured bacterium. Its description in RNAcentral is "bacterial SSU rRNA". It matches the Rfam family "Bacterial small subunit ribosomal RNA", at positions 355 to 775 of the family's 1533-position model. The record is from RNAcentral.
UAGGGAAUAUUGGGCAAUGGAGGCAACUCUGACCCAGCCAUGCCGCGUGCAGGAUGAAGGCGCUCAGCGUUGUAAACUGCUUUUAUCUGGGAAGAAAAGUACUUCUGCGGGAGUAUGUGACGGUACCAGAGGAAUAAGCACCGGCUAACUCCGUGCCAGCAGCCGCGGUAAUACGGAGGGUGCAAGCGUUGUCCGGAUUUAUUGGGUUUAAAGGGUGCGUAGGUGGUCAUUUAAGUCUGAUUUGAAAGCUGGUGGCUUAACCAUCAGAUGUGGUUGGAAACUGAAUGACUUGAAUGGGUUGGCGGUAGCCGGAACGGGUCAUGUAGCGGUGAAAUGCAUAGAUAUGACCCAGAACACCGAUUGCGAAGGCAGGCUACUACGACUUGAUUGACACUGAGGCACGAGAGCAUGGGUAGCGAACAG